UUGAACGCUGGCGGCAUGCCUUACACAUGCAAGUCGAACGGUAGGGGGCGAACCCUUGAGAGUGGCGAACGGGUGAGUAAUAUAUCGGAACGUGCCCAGUCGUGGGGGAGUAACGCAGCGAAAGCUGCGCUAAUACCGCAUACGAUCUAUGGAUGAAAGCGGGGGAUCGCAAGACCUCGCGCGAUUGGAGCGGCCGAUAUCAGAUUAGGUAGUUGGUGGGGUAAAAGGCCCACCAAGCCGACGAUCUGUAGCUG
RNAcentral lists this ribosomal RNA (254 nucleotides) under uncultured bacterium. Its description in RNAcentral is "partial 16S ribosomal RNA". It matches the Rfam family "Bacterial small subunit ribosomal RNA", at positions 30 to 289 of the family's 1533-position model. The record is from RNAcentral.